GGUGACGAGUUAUUGACUGAGUGGCGGACGGGUGAGUAACGCGUGGGUAACCUACCUUGUACAGGGGGACAACAGUUGGAAACGACUGCUAAUACCGCAUAAGCGCACAGCAUCGCAUGAUGCAGUGUGAAAAGUUUUUUCGGUACAAGAUGGACCCGCGUCUGAUUAGCUAGUUGGUGAGGUAACGGCCCACCAAGGCGACGAUCAGUAGCCGACCUGAGAGGGUGACCGGCCACAUUGGGACUGAGACACGGCCCAAACUCCUACGGGAGGCAGCAGUGGGGAAUAUUGCACAAUGGGCGCAAGCCUGAUGCAGCGACGCCGCGUGAGCGAAGAAGUAUUUCGGUAUGUAAAGCUCUAUCAGCAGGGAAGAUAAUGACGGUACCUGACUAAGAAGCACCGGCUAAAUACGUGCCAGCAGCCGCGGUAAUACGUAUGGUGCAAGCGUUAUCCGGAUUUACUGGGUGUAAAGGGAGCGUAGGCGGUUUUACAAGUCUGAUGUGAAAGCCCGGGGCUCAACUCCGGUAUUGCAUUGGAAACUGUAGAACUANAGUGUCGGAGGGGUAAGUGGAAUUCCUAGUGUANCGGUGAAAUGCGUA
This 599-nucleotide ribosomal RNA is filed under the name uncultured bacterium. RNAcentral's name for it is "bacterial SSU rRNA". It matches the Rfam family "Bacterial small subunit ribosomal RNA", at positions 74 to 692 of the family's 1533-position model. The record is from RNAcentral.